UGUAUGUUGGUUGGCCUGAGAAUCAGUGGCUGGCCAGAGUCUCCCAGGGAACUUCCUGGCCAACUGGGGACUAGAAC
Varanus komodoensis (Komodo dragon) is the source of this 77-nucleotide long non-coding RNA. RefSeq lists it as uncharacterized. The record is from RefSeq and is a predicted model, not a curated record. Lineage: Eukaryota; Metazoa; Chordata; Lepidosauria; Squamata; Varanidae. The transcript has 3 exons.